GUGUGCUUUCCCCUAAUCCUCAGGGACUUCAGGUACCAGUUGACAAAUACUGUGCAUUGUCAUUAAUGAAGCAGUGAUUACAGGAAGAUAGUCACAGCGGAACGCACAAGGCACGGGAUCCAAGGGGCACCAUCGGGGGCCCCUCCCCAAAGGUCGUCUAGAGGUGCUGAAGUUCCCCGAGAUAAAGCAGGAAAAGAGAAACGGAAAGGAUUGCCUCCCUACCUGGGUCCACCUCUUCACAUAUCUGAUUAGGAUUUCUCGAAUACUUGCCAUAUAUUGGUUCCAACCGAGACAGGGAUGAUCUGAAGAUGAGCAAGACACAGGCGUGACCCCGAGGAGCUUGAAGAAUGACACAGUGAUCCCAGAAGCAAGAUCUAUGGAUGCUCAUCUCAGAAUGUUCCCAAAGAAAAGGAUCCACAGCCAAGUCCUCAACUUUGUCAACAAUUCGUCAGGCAUCUUACUACGACUCGAUGCUACUUUCCAGUCAUUUCUUAGAACCACAGAGUUCCAGUGGCUCCAGGAUAUCCUGGCCAGACCAGACCUUCACAGCCUUCUUCCUCGGUCAAAUCUCGGAGACCAUUU
Molecule: long non-coding RNA, 582 nt
Organism: Ailuropoda melanoleuca (giant panda)
Lineage: Eukaryota; Metazoa; Chordata; Mammalia; Carnivora; Ursidae
Exons: 3
Source: RefSeq, a predicted model, not a curated record